GUGGUGGGAGGCUGAGGGAAACGAGGGCGGACGCGGGAAUCGCCUUCCCCCCCGCCCCAGUCCGGUUCGCGGAGGUGCUUGUGACCCGACGGAGACGCCGUAGAAGCAGCUGCGGGCGUACGGGUCGCCGGGAGAAGGGCCCCGGGACCGCCCAGGCGCAGGUUAUUUCCGCAGGCCUUAGGAAGCCGGCUCCCCCAUGCAGUCCACCUGGGAAGGCGGCCUUCCUUCCUUCCUUCCUUCCUACCCGGCCCCCCUAAAAGGCACUUCCCUCCCGUCCGCCCGGGGGUCAUUCCAGGAAGCCUCCGCCUGCUGCUGAGCUAAAGUUCCCUGUUGCCCAAGAUACUGGCUGCUAGGUGGUUGUACGCGGGACCUCCAUCAGCGGCGUGACAGGCGAACCUCAGUUUUUUAAGUCGUUCCACGCUUAACGUUGAUUCUCCCGGCUCUCCCAUAGUGACGUCAUGGCCAAGAGGCGUUUCCUGAGCUCGUCUUGACAAGCCCCUCUUGAGGGUCCCAAACAAUGUGAACUUGGCCGGGGCUUUCCUUGGUCACUAAAGGCCUUCCAUACGUACAUUAGCUCUCAUUGUCACUGAGCCCCAGGACUCAAGAGAAAGAAGGGAUAAGGGUGUAUGUAGCCCACUUGGUGGCAUGAUUGCCCUACACGUGCAAAGGGUCUAGGUUCAAUCCCCAAGAGACAGACAAAAGGCUUUAUGAUACGUAAUAUCUAUUACAUAGUAUAUAGGAUGUAUUAAUUAUUCUAUGGCCCAAUACAGGCAAAUAAUACAGAUGCCAACAAGGACCAAAUGCAGCUAGACACUGCUUGACUCAAUCUGGAGUGGGUGCUGUGAGCUGAGGGUAUGGUGAUUCCUGGGUAGAAAUGCAAAGUCUGCAAACAGCAGGACAAGAACCUUAAGAAAGAAACAGAGACAACAUUACUUCCUUGGAAGUGACACUGUUGGUCUCUAUGAAAACUCGAAAGUUGUGUAGAAAAGGAAGAGGAGAAGGAAGAAAAGAGGAAGAAACUGCGGAUGCCUAUCUCCUCCACACCACUUCUAAUCUAGGGUUUCUUUGAGGCAAAUAUCUGGCUCACCUUCCACAUUUGCAAUAGUACCUCUGCUUUUAAUAUAGAAUCCAUUGCAAGGUAGGCUUGGUGGUGCUCAGUGAGCAAAGGACUACAGAUGGGGUAACUGAGAGAAGCCAUAAACAGCAGCACUGGAUACAGCCAGAGAACACCAACACUUCAGACAUGCAAACAGUCUUCCUUUACCUUUUUCUUCUUUUCCUUUCUCUUUUGGUUUUUUGGAUCUUCUGGUAUGCUUUUUUUGAAACAAUACCAUGAUUUAAAAGGAAUAAUGUAAAGGGACUGGGGAACAUAGCUCAGUGGUAGGGCAGCUGCUCAGCAGACAAGGCCCUGGGCUUGAUUCCCCAGCACAACAAGAAUGAUAACAGACAUAGUCAUCUCUCCCAACUUCAGGGACCACGUGCCACUCCUUUCAGUCAUUUUGCAAUACGGCAGAGAACCGGUUUUUCAGUUUUGUCUUUCCAGCUAUCCCAUCACUGGCGUCAUCAGCAAAGUAAUAAUGGGAGGCUUGUGAUCCAUGGCCUCUUGUCUGGAAUUUUGAUGAGCUGCUUCACAUGGUGCUGUUAUGAAAGAUUAUUUAACAUGACUGGAGAUGUGAUUUGACACACUCAACUCCUGAUGCACUGGAGUUCCUAUUUUAAAUUUGAAAGGGCAAUAAAAUGUUAAAAUCACUAUAUUGCAGCUCAAUGUUACUAACAUAGAAUGCUACCAAAGGGGUAUAUUAUAUUAUGGAUCAGUACAUUUCUUCACAUAAGGCAAAGCAAGGUAUGUGUGGGCCCUUUUCAGAUAAAAUAUAAUAAGAUGCAGGUAAGAGCUAUGAGCCCUUUGUAACUAAGUGAAUGAAUGUAUGUGAGACAUUGCAGGUAAAGAGGACCAGA
Molecule: long non-coding RNA, 1956 nt
Organism: Jaculus jaculus (lesser Egyptian jerboa)
Lineage: Eukaryota; Metazoa; Chordata; Mammalia; Rodentia; Dipodidae
Exons: 3
Source: RefSeq, a predicted model, not a curated record